RNAcentral lists this small RNA (19 nucleotides) under Arabidopsis thaliana (thale cress). RNAcentral describes it as "Ath_wt_18978". Lineage: Eukaryota; Viridiplantae; Streptophyta; Magnoliopsida; Brassicales; Brassicaceae. The record is from RNAcentral.
GCCGCUCACGCCCGGUCGU